RNAcentral lists this ribosomal RNA (442 nucleotides) under uncultured bacterium. RNAcentral describes it as "partial 16S ribosomal RNA". It matches the Rfam family "Bacterial small subunit ribosomal RNA", at positions 338 to 795 of the family's 1533-position model. The record is from RNAcentral.
CCUACGGGCGGCAGCAGUGGGGAAUAUUGGUCAAUGGGCGAAAGCCUGACCCAGCAACGCCGCGUGAAGGAAGAAGGCGCUCGGGUUGUAAACUUUUUUUGACAGGGAAGAGCAGAAGACGGUACCUGUCGAAUAAGCCACGGCUAACUACGUGCCAUCAGCCGCGGUAAUACGUAGGUGGCAAGUGUUGUCCGGAUUUACUGGGUUUAAAGGGCGUGUAGCCGGGCUGAGAAGUCAGAUGUGAAAUCCGGGGGCUCAACCCCCGAACUGCCUUUGAAACUGUUGGUCUUGAGUAUCGGAGAGGCAGGCGGAAUUCGUGGUGUAGCGGUGAAAUGCGUAGAUAUUAGGAAGAACACCGGUGGCGAAGGCAGCCUGCUGGACGACAACUGACGGUGAGGCGCGAAAGCGUGGGGAGCAAACAGGAUUAGAUACCCUGGUAGUC